RNAcentral lists this long non-coding RNA (4782 nucleotides) under Oryza sativa (Asian cultivated rice). Its description in RNAcentral is "long non-coding RNA (OSAT_LNC001211)". Lineage: Eukaryota; Viridiplantae; Streptophyta; Magnoliopsida; Poales; Poaceae. The record is from RNAcentral.
UUGGAUAUUUUGUAAUCUUGAGCAUUUUAUAUUUCUGUUUUGCAUGAACGUAGUGGCUGGCUGAAGGUUGUUUUGGCCGGUCGGUAGAAUAGCUGUUUCCUUCUGCAUGUUGUCAGUUUUGUUUAGCUGCCGAAUGACCUGGUUUCAGAUCGUGGGAUGGCGCGGUCAGUAGCCGAUCCGGGUUGCUCGUUCCGUUCAGUUGUGCAUGUAACAAACUCCGUUUUGGUGGAGGAGAAUAUAGAGUGAAAACAGAAAAGCAGCAGAGGUUGCGCUGCACAAAAAUUCUACUUUGUUCUUCAGUUCUUGACGUUUCCCGAACUUCUUGAGGUUACUAUCGUUGUCCGGCAAUUUUCAGAGUGAGCGAGUGUGAGCGAUUUCAGAGUUUGCUCUUUCCGUUUUGCUGACAAUUGGUAUCAGAGCGGUACCACGACGGUCCUGAGACGAUGUCUGAUGAUGGCGGGCGAUACACACCGCCCGGACGCCGUGGUGGCGGUGGCGGCGGCGGAAGCGGCAGCGGGCGCGGAGGCGCAAGUGGCAGCGGCGCGGGGGAUGGCGCAGACGGCGCGAACCUUCCUCUCGUGCCACAGGGGAGAGAUGCUGGGCACACUGCUCGCCUCCCGGUGCUGUCGAGGACCAAUUAUCCGGAUUGGGCAUUGUUGAUGCGUGUAAACCUACAGGCGCAGGGGUUGUGGACGGCGAUUGAACCCGGAUACGCGGAGUACCGCGACGAUCGGGCGGCUCUCUCGGCAAUCCUUCAGGCGGUGCCGCGCGAGAUGUUGCGCGGGCUGGCGAAGCAUGACACGGCGAAGGCGGCGUGGGACGCCAUCAAGACAAUGCGGGUCGGCGUCGACCGUGUGCGUGAGGCGAAGGAGUAGGGCUUCCGUCGCCAAUUCGAGGCGAUGCGCUUCAAGGAUGGAGAGACACCGGAGGAGUUCGCGAUGCGACUCACUGCCGUCGUCGCGGACAUUCGCGACAUGGGUGGAGUCAUGGAAGACGAACACAUCAACAAGAAACUGCUGCGCGUUGUGCCCAAGAAGUACAAGCCGGUGGCGAUUUCCCUCGAGCAGCUUCUCGACGUGAAAACGAUGGCCCUUGAGGAGCUCGUUGGGCGGCUGUCGAUGGUCAACUCAUACAGUGAUGAUGAGGAGGAAGGUGGCGGCGACAAGCUCUACCUCACGGAGGAACAGUGGCAGGCACGCGCAAGGAAACAGGAGCAGGAAGGCUCCGGCGGCAGCAGCAAGAGCAGGGGCAGCUCUGGCACCCAGAACAACCGUCGGGGCAAGGCCGGUGGGUCACCGAAGGGGAAGGAGACGAUCAACAGUGGGAACACCAGCCGUGACUACUCCAAGGUAAAAUGUUUCAAUUGUGAUGAGUUUGGGCAUUUUGCAAGGCAGUGCCGCAAGCCGCGGCGCCAACGUCGAGGGGAAGUAAACCUGACGCAGGGGGAGGAGGAGCCGACCUUGCUCAUGGCUCACGUCAUGGGGGUGUCUCUCGCCGGUGAGGAGACACUCGGGCGAACACCUGGUGUGCAUGAGGUGCAUCUCACUGAGAAAAAGGUGAUUCUGGAUCAUGAGGUUGCAGAAGAGGAGGAGGCCGGCUUGACGCGCGUGACUACGAUGCUCACAUAUACCAUGGUGUCUGCACGCUGCGUGAUCCUGAUGGUCUACUGCUUGCCAAGGUAAAGCGCUCCCCAAGCUUCCUGUACAUUCUGAAGUUGAACAUGGCGAGGCCCAUCUGUUUGGCGGCGAAUGGCACCGAGACGGCGUGGCGUUGGCACGCCCGUUUCGGCCACCUCAAUUUCCAGGCCCUCCGGAGAUUGGCGCAAGCGGAGAUGGUCCGUGGACUCCCCGUGAUUGACCACGUCGAUCAACUGUGUGAUGGGUGCCUCGCCGGCAAGCAGCGACGAGUGCCGUUCCCAGACAAAGCCAGGUUCAGGGCGCAGGAUGCGCUCGAGUUGGUUCAUGGCGACCUGUGCGGGCCGAUUGCGCCGGCAACGCCAGGCGGCAGGAAAUAUUUCCUGCUCCUUGUUGAUGACAUGAGCCGUUUCAUGUGGAUACGGCUCCUCUCCGGCAAGCACGAGGCAGCGGCUGCGAUCAAGCAGUUCAAGGCCGGCGUCGAGAUGGAAAGCGGCCGAAAACUGCGGGCGCUGCGCACCGACCGGGGAGGAGAAUUUACCUCUGUCGAGUUCACUGAGUUCUGUGCCGAUCGGGGUGUGAGUCGCCAGCUCACGGCUCCAUACUCGCCGCAACAAAAUGGGGUCGUCAAGAGGCGAAACCUGACUAUCGUCGCUGCUGCUCGCUCUAUGCUCAAGGCGGCGGGGAUGCCGGCACAUUUCUGGGGAGAGGCAGUCGUGGCGGCUGUGUAUCUAUUGAAUCGGUCGCCCACAAAGAGCCUGGAUGGUGUGACGCCAUAUGAAGCGUGGCACGGGCGACGUCCCUCGGUCGAACACCUGAAGGUGUUUGGCUGUGUCGGCUACGUCAAGACAGUGAAGCCAAAUUUGAGGAAACUUGAUGAUCGUGGCACACGAAUGGUGUUCAUUGGUUAUGAGCAGGGCUCAAAAGCCUAUCGGAUGUAUGAUCCGGUGUCACGGCGAGUUUAUGUGUCACGCGACGUCGUCUUUGAUGAGGCGGCAAUGUGGCCAUGGCGUGAUCCGGAGGUCACUCAAACUGGAGGCGAGGAGGAUUUCACUGUGGAGUUUUUUUCCACUCCGCUAGGUGGAAAUCGUGUUCCUGACGUGGUUGUGGAACAUGGAGGCGCACGGGAAACUGAAACCGCACCAAGUCCGCUGGCCACGCCCGACGCGGCGCCCGUGUGGUCUCCAGUGACAUCAAGCUCACCUGCCGGUGUUGAGUUCUGUACACCACCAUCUGAUGCCAGUAUUGAAAGCGAUGGAGCUCCUCCCCGUUUUCGGACGGUGAACAAUGUGCUGGCCACCACAACUCCGGUGCUCGAUUUCGACUACGACGACGAGUGUCUCAUAGCGGAGCAGGAGCCUUUCAGUUUCAAGGAAGCUGAGAAGGAGCAGUGCUGGAUGAAGGCGAUGGAAGAGGAGAUGAGCUCCAUUGAAGGUAACAAUACUUGGUUCCUCUGUGACUUACCAUCUGACCAUAGGGCAAUUGGUCUCAAAUGGGUUUACAAGAUCAAGAGAAGUGCCGAAGGUGAGAUAUUGAAGUACAAAGCAAGAUUGGUGGCAAAGGGGUAUGUUCAGCAACAAGGCAUAGAUUAUGAAGAAGUAUUUGCUCCAGUAGCAAGGAUGGAAACUGUGAGGUUGCUGGUUGCUUUGGCAGCACAUGAGGGUUGGCAAAUACAUCACAUGGAUGUGAAGUCAGCUUUCCUCAAUGGUGAAUUGGAGGAAGAGGUGUAUGUAGUCCAACCACCUGGUUUUGUUGUUGAGCACAAGGAGAACAAAGUACUGAAGUUAAAAAAGGCCCUAUAUGGUUUAAAGCAGGCGCCAAGAGCUUGGUAUGCAAAGCUGGAUUCUACACUUGCAAAUCUGGAUUUUGUAAGAAGUGCAACAGAGAAUGCAGUGUACACUAGAGGGGAAGGUAAUGCCAGACUCAUGGUGGGGGUAUAUGUUGAUGAUCUUAUCAUUACAGGAGCUUUGGGGACAGAAAUAGCAAAAUUCAAGGAGCAGAUGAGAAGUAUGUUUAGUAUGAGUGAUCUUGGAUUACUGUCCUAUUACCUGGGAAUGGAGGUUAAACAGACUGAAGAAGGCAUUACAAUGUCCCAAGCUGGGUAUGCAGGAAGAAUUUUAGAGAAGGCUGGGAUGCAAGGUUGCAAUCCUUGUCAGGUUCCUAUGGAUGCUAGACUGAAGCUGAAAAAAGGAGUAGAAGAUUGCAUUGAUGCAACACAGUUUAGAAGCAUUAUAGGAAGCCUGAGGUAUUUGGUUAAUACAAGGCCUGAUCUAUCCUACUCUGUUGGAUAUGUUAGUAGAUACAUGGAGAAUCCAGGUGCUGAACAUUGGGCUGCCAUGAAACAUAUUUUGCGCUAUGUGGCAGGAAGUCUGAAUAUUGGUCUCAAGUUCAGAAAGGGAGAAGAGAAAUUUCCUCGGCUAGUUGGCUAUAGUGAUAGUGAUAUGGCUGGGGAUGUGGAUGAUAGAAAGAGUACAACAGGGGUGUUGUUUAAGCUGGGAGAAAACUUAAUCACAUGGCAGUCUCAGAAGCAAAAAAUAGUUGCAUUAUCAUCUUGUGAAGCUGAGUAUAUUGCUGCUACAACUGCUGCCUGUCAGGGGAUUUGGUUAGCACGUUUGCUGGGAGAACUGCAAAUGAAGAAGCCCUGUUGUGCCAUGUUAAAAGUUGACAACAAAUCUGCAAUCAAUCUCUGCAAGAAUCCUGUACUUCAUGAUAGAAGCAAACACAUUGAUACAAGAUAUCAUUUCAUCCGUGAGAGGGUUGAAAGAAAGGAGGUCGAAGUGGAGUACACAAGUUCAGCAGAACAACUUGCAGACAUACUGACAAAGCCUCUUGGCAAGGUCCGAUUUCUGGAGCUGAGGGGAAAGCUGGGUUUGUCUCCAGUGUGAUGCGUCAAGAUUAGGGGGAGAAAUUGUUGGAUAUUUUGUAAUCUUGAGCAUUUUAUAUUUCUGUUUUGCAUGAACGUAGUGGCUGGCUGAAGGUUGUUUUGGCCGGUCGGUAGAAUAGCUAUUUCCUUCUGCAUGUUGUCAGUUUUGUUUAGCUGCCGAAUGACCUGGUUUCAGAUCGUGGGAUGGCGCGGUCAGUAGCCGAUCCGGGUUGCUCGUUCCGUUCAGUUGUGCAUGUAACAAACUCCGUUUUGGUGGAGGAGAAU